Molecule: long non-coding RNA, 502 nt
Filed under: Hordeum vulgare
Lineage: Eukaryota; Viridiplantae; Streptophyta; Magnoliopsida; Poales; Poaceae
Description: long non-coding RNA (HVUL_LNC008185)
Source: RNAcentral
CACACGAUAACAGACUCGGUGCGGAUCAAGCUUACCCACACCGAUCUAAAAGUAUGACGGCCAACAGAAGUGGCCAGAAUAUCGUACAGGCAAACACUCGGCAUACCGAGGAUAAAGUUCGAUCAUGAGUCAGCUGGGCCCGCGUCAGGACUGGAGGGUUCCACAAAGGUAUGCAGGUCAAUUCCAUCAGCAAUGCGGGUCGCAGUCUCUAGGAAUGUCUCCAUGAAGUCUUCGAAUUGAAGCUUCUUCGUGUUGGCGACUUUCAAGGCUUUCAGCUUAUCUUCCCGCACUUCUUUGCAAUGGACUCGCACCAAGGACAGCGCCACAUCAGCACCGCAACGCGCUGCCGAUUUCUUCCAAGAUUGCACUCGGGCCGGAAUCUCCCCUAGUCGCCCCAACAGAGUCUCCAUCUUCUCCCGCGACUCGUCUUCCGGCCAAAGCUCCUUCUCAAUGCGGCCGAAGAUUUCUCUCAGUCGGUUGAUGAACGGACCCACUUUGCCUA